Ictidomys tridecemlineatus (thirteen-lined ground squirrel) is the source of this 450-nucleotide non-coding RNA. The record is from RefSeq and is a predicted model, not a curated record. Lineage: Eukaryota; Metazoa; Chordata; Mammalia; Rodentia; Sciuridae.
GGGUGUUGGUGCGGAGUCGGAAAUGCUGUGUGUCUCUGAGGCCCUAGAUUCCCUGGGCUGAGCCCUGCCGCUGGUCCCCCGACAUCCUUGGGCUGUGGAGCGACGUGGCUGCCUAGAAGAGAAAUAUCAAAAGUCUCAUGCAUUCUUGGAGGCAAGUAAGUUUGAGAGGAAACAAACAACUGAUCACAUCCCAAUCAAUGACUUAAGAUUAUUUCUUUAGAGUCCAAGCAUCAAAGAUGAAUCUAUAUUGAGAAAUUGUCAAGAACUGGAGGAAUAAAUCAAGGAAAGGGAUUCAGAUAAGAAGUAAAACAUUCUCUGUAACUACUUGAAAACGGAAUGCAUGAAAACCAUACAUCAGUGGUUCUCCAGAAAAGGCAGUCUUGGUGUGAACAUAUUUUAUAUACAGAGUUAUGAAAAAUUGUGCUGUGAAUGGAUAAUUUUGAAUGUAAU